GCGGUUAAGGUUCGGCGAUCGGAGCAGGCAGAGCUUUGGUGCACGACGCGCAAAGAAACAGAAGCCACGAUGGUGUCCACGGCACGGCGGAAUUUCUCGCGACGAAAAGACCACGAGGUACGAUCUGGAACGGAGGACGCGAGGCCGAGGCGAUCUUUUGCGCCGGCAGACAUCGACGACGUUGCUCGACAGGGCAAGCUGGAACGUGCACGUGAGUUGGUGAAACUACCCCCACCCCCGCGCGCCCACCCUAAAUUUUACUCCUGUAAAAGCGUGAACGACUUCCCGCGACGCUUCUGUGUUGAAAGCCACCUUGAACUGCAGGCAAAUCUACAAGAACGCACGGCUACGGAUGAAGCAACACUAUACCUGCAGUCGGGCAAGUCGGCGGGUUCGGUAUAACAACUGCAAGUUCGCACGGAGACGAACGCUACAGUUUUACGAAGAAAGAAAAACGGCGCCUGAUGUGGCAGACGAUGCUCGAACGACGUACUACAGCGCUGGAAAUGCAUUGGGAACAGACGGCGACGAACCAACUUGUAACGCCGAGUCUGCCGUCGAAAACUCCGAACAAACCGAGCGCGUACGAAGACCCGGAGAAGACGCCGAAGAGUUCGCUGAAAAUCGUCGAUAGCUAACCCCGUAUGCAAAUUGCACGCUCCUUGACAUGUCACUCCGAGAAACUAUCGAAGCAUUUGUGUGUGUGUGUGUUAAGCGUAGCCCCAGUUCAGUGCCCUGUGCUACGAACGAGGUGGUCGAGAUGAGCAGACGACGCGCUGCGCUAGGCCUAGCGACGCGACCGUUAUGCACUUCACGCGAAGCUGUGGGUUUAUCGGCUAAGUGAGGUGAGUGAAGACACCAUCCGGGAAACUAUCGAAUCUUGUGUGUGUGUGUUAAGCGUAGGCCCCAGUUCAGUGCCCUGUGCUACGAAGGAGGCGGUCGAGAUGAGCAGACGACGCGCUGCGCUAGGCCUAGCGACGCGACCGUUAUUCACUUCAGGCGAAGCUGUGGCUUAUCGACGAAAUGAGAUAAGCAAAGUCCGCGAGAUGGGUACGUGGCAUUCCAUUUGCAGAUAAGGAAAGCCCGCGAGAUGGGUGAUCUCCCAGUUCGAUGCUGGCCGCCGUUACGAGCGAUGAAUCAUCUACGCAUAGGAAGACGGCUUAUGCAGAUGCAGGAAGAAUUACAUUGCAUAUAUAUGUGUGUCAGCGGCGCGUUCCACAUCAAUCAUCCAUCCGGCUAAUUGGCGCCGGUGGUGCGCCGUUCUCGAAGAAGCGUUCGCGAGACUGGUUUUUGUGACAGGGCCGCAUGCGCCCGUGCUGGCUCGGAGGAUCGACUACGGCGUUCCGCAUGAUCGACGCAAGGUAGUGGGCUCGAUCCCCGGGCCGCCGCGCGCCCCAGUGGUGUAUACGCAUUGCACUUUGCGAAUACGUCCGCGCGCGUAACAGUUGUGACGUUCUGCGUUUUGGGAUUAAUCCGAUAAAACACUCUGCGGUAAACAAAAUAUAAAGGAAUAAAUAAAUAAAGGGGGUGGCGCCCCAGCGGUAUACGCAUUGCACUUUGCGAAUACGUGCUUGCGCGUAACAGUUGUGACGUUCUGCGUUUUGGGAUUAAUCCGAUAAAACACUCUGCGGUAAACAAAAUAUAAAGGAAUAAAUAAAUAAAGGGGGAGGCGCCCCAGCGGUAUACGCAUUGCACUUUGCGAAUACGUGCGUGCGCGUAACAGUUGUGACGUUCUGCGUUUUGGGAUAAAUCCGAUAAAACACUUUCGGGUAAACGAAAGAUAAAGGAAUAAAUAAAUAC
Molecule: long non-coding RNA, 1800 nt
Organism: Dermacentor albipictus
Lineage: Eukaryota; Metazoa; Arthropoda; Arachnida; Ixodida; Ixodidae
Source: RefSeq, a predicted model, not a curated record